GAUGAACGCUGGCGGCGUGCCUAAUACAUGCAAGUCGAGCGAACAGACGAGGAGCUUGCUCCUCUGACGUUAGCGGCGGACGGGUGAGUAACACGUGGAUAACCUACCUAUAAGACUGGGAUAACUUCGGGAAACCGGCGCUAAUACCGGAUAAUAUAUUGAACCGCAUGGUUCAAUAGUGAAAGACGGUUUUGCUGUCACUUAUAGAUGGAUCCGCGCCGCAUUAGCUAGUUGGUAAGGUAACGGCUUACCAAGGCAACGAUGCGUAGCCGACCUGAGAGGGUGAUCGGCCACACUGGAACUGAGACACGGUCCAGACUCCUACGGGAGGCAGCAGUAGGGAAGCUUCCGCAAUGGGCGAAAGCCUGACGGAGCAACGCCGCGUGAGUGAUGAAGGUCUUCGGAUCGUAAAACUCUGUUAUUAGGGAAGAACAAAUGUGUAAGUAACUAUGCACGUCUUGACGGUACCUAAUCAGAAAGCCACGGCUAAAUACGUG
Molecule: ribosomal RNA, 497 nt
Filed under: uncultured bacterium
Lineage: Bacteria
Description: partial 16S ribosomal RNA
Rfam family: Bacterial small subunit ribosomal RNA
Source: RNAcentral